RNAcentral lists this ribosomal RNA (265 nucleotides) under uncultured prokaryote. RNAcentral's name for it is "partial 16S ribosomal RNA". It matches the Rfam family "Bacterial small subunit ribosomal RNA", at positions 524 to 784 of the family's 1533-position model. The record is from RNAcentral.
UACGUAGGGUGCGAGCGUUGUCCGGAAUUAUUGGGCGUAAAGAGCUUGUAGGCGGUUCGUCGCGUCUGCUGUGAAAAAUCCGGGGGCUCAACCCCGGACUUGUCAGUGGGUACCGGGCAGGCUGGAGUGCAGUAGGGGAGACUGGAAUUCCUGGUGUAGCGGUGAAAUGCGCAGAUAUCAGGAGGAACACCGAUGGCGAAGGCAGGUCUCUGGGCUGUUACUGACGCUGAGGAGCGAAAGCAUGGGGAGCAAACAGGAUUAGAUA